UGCAUACUAUGCACUUGGUCCUAUUGCC
This 28-nucleotide non-coding RNA is filed under the name Homo sapiens (human). Lineage: Eukaryota; Metazoa; Chordata; Mammalia; Primates; Hominidae. The record is from RNAcentral.